This 480-nucleotide ribosomal RNA is filed under the name uncultured bacterium. RNAcentral describes it as "partial 16S ribosomal RNA". It matches the Rfam family "Bacterial small subunit ribosomal RNA", at positions 28 to 507 of the family's 1533-position model. The record is from RNAcentral.
GACGAACGCUGGCGGCGUGCUUAACACAUGCAAGUCGAACGAUGAAGAAAAGAAUCGAAGCUUCGGCAGAAAUUCAUUUCGGAUUAGUGGCAGACGGGUGAGUAACGCGUGAGCAACCUACCUCUUACAAAGGGAUAGCCUCGGGAAACCGGGAUUAAUACCAUAUAACAUUGUGACGAAGCAUUUCGAUGCAAUCAAAGCUACGGCGGUAAGAGAUGGGCUCGCGUCCCAUUAACCGGAUGGUGAGGUAACGGCUCACCAUAGUGACGAUGGGUAACCGGCCUGAGAGGGUGAACGGUCACACUGGAACUGAGACACGGUCCAGACUCCUACGGGAGGCAGCAGUGGGGAAUAUUGCACAAUGGAGUGAACUCUGAUGCAGCGACGCCGCGUGAGUGAUGAAGGAAUUCGUUUCGUAAAACUCUGUUCUAUGGGAAGAAAAGGACUGUACCAUAGGAGAAAGCUCCGGCUAAAUACGUG